This 692-nucleotide ribosomal RNA is filed under the name Pseudomonas putida. RNAcentral's name for it is "bacterial SSU rRNA". It matches the Rfam family "Bacterial small subunit ribosomal RNA", at positions 78 to 762 of the family's 1533-position model. Lineage: Bacteria; Pseudomonadati; Pseudomonadota; Gammaproteobacteria; Pseudomonadales; Pseudomonadaceae. The record is from RNAcentral.
GCUUGCUCCUUGAUUCAGCGGCGGACGGGUGAGUAAUGCGCUAGUGAAUCUGCCUGGUAGUGGGGGACAACGUUUCGAAAGGAACGCUAAUACCGCAUACGUCUCUACGAGGAGAAAGCAGGGGACCUUCGGGCCUUGCGCUAUCAGAUGAGCCUAGGUCGGAUUAACUAGUUGGUGGGGUAAUGGCUCACCAAGGCGACGAUCCGUAACUGGUCUGAGAGGAUGAUCAGUCACACGGGAACUGAGACACGGUCCAGACUCCUACGGGAGGCAGCAGUGGGGAAUAUUGGACAAUGGGCGAAAGCCUGAUCCAGCCAUGCCGCGUGUGUGAAGAAGGUCUUCGGAUUGUAAAGCACUUUAAGUUGGGAGGAAGGGCAGUAAGCUAAUACCUUGCUGUUUUGACGUUACCGACAGAAUAAGCACCGGCUAACUCUGUGCCAGCAGCCGCGGUAAUACAGAGGGUGCAAGCGUUAAUCGGAAUUACUGGGCGUAAAGCGCGCGUAGGUGGUUUGUUAAGUUGGAUGUGAAAGCCCCGGGCUCAACCUGGGAACUGCAUCCAAAACUGGCAAGCUAGAGUACGGUAGAGGGUGGUGGAAUUUCCUGUGUAGCGGUGAAAUGCGUAGAUAUAGGAAGGAACACCAGUGGCGAAGGCGACCACCUGGACUGAUACUGACACUGAUGUGCGAAAGCGU